GACGAACGCUGGCGGCGUGCUUAACACAUGCAAGUCGAACGGAAAGGCCCUGCUUUUGUGGGGUGCUCGAGUGGCGAACGGGUGAGUAACACGUGAGUAACCUGCCCUUGACUUUGGGAUAACUUCAGGAAACUGGGGCUAAUACCGGAUAGGAGCUCCUGCUGCAUGGAGGGGGUUGGAAAGUUUCGGCGGUUGGGGAUGGACUCGCGGCUUAUCAGCUUGUUGGUGGGGUAGUGGCUUACCAAGGCUUUGACGGGUAGCCGGCCUGGGAGGGUGACCGGCCACAUUGGGACUGAGAUACGGCCCAGACUCCUACGGGAGGCAGAAGUGGGGAGUAUUGCACAAUGGGCGGAAGCCUGAUGCAGCAACGCCGCGUGCGGGAUGACGGCCUUCGGGUUGUAAACCGCUUUCGCCUGUGACGAAGCGUGAGUGACGGUAAUGGGUAAAGAAGCACCGGCUAACUACGUG
This 468-nucleotide ribosomal RNA is filed under the name uncultured bacterium. Its description in RNAcentral is "partial 16S ribosomal RNA". It matches the Rfam family "Bacterial small subunit ribosomal RNA", at positions 28 to 507 of the family's 1533-position model. The record is from RNAcentral.